Molecule: ribosomal RNA, 441 nt
Filed under: uncultured bacterium
Lineage: Bacteria
Description: partial 16S ribosomal RNA
Rfam family: Bacterial small subunit ribosomal RNA
Source: RNAcentral
CCUACGGGCGGCAGCAGUCGGGAAUAUUGCGCAAUGGAGGAAACUCUGACGCAGUGACGCCGCGUGAAGGAAGAAGGAUUUCGGAUUGUAAACUGCUUUAGACAGGGAAGAAAAAAGACAGUACCUGUAGACUAAACUCCGGCUAACUACGUGCCAGCAGCAGCGGGAAUACGUAGGGAGGAAGCGUUAUCCGGAUUUAUUGGGUGUAAAGGUUGCGUAGACGGAGAAGCAAGUUAGUUGUGAAAGCCCGCGGCUUAACAGAGGAACUGAAACUAACACUACUUCCCUUGAGUACUGGAGAGGAAAGUGGAAUUCCUGGUGUAGCGGUGAAAUGCGUAGAUAUUAGGAGGAACACCAGUGGCGAAGGCGAGUUUCUGGACAGUAACUGACGUUGAGGCACGAAAGUGUGGGGAGCAAACAGGAGUAGAUACCCCAGUAGUC